This 2093-nucleotide small RNA is filed under the name Rattus norvegicus (Norway rat). Its description in RNAcentral is "uncharacterized LOC102554685". The record is from RNAcentral. Lineage: Eukaryota; Metazoa; Chordata; Mammalia; Rodentia; Muridae.
UUAAAUACCUGUGGGGCGGGAAGUCGGGCGGAGUCUAAAGGCCAGGGCGCUGCCGCCCCGGAGUAGGAAAGGGCCGAGAGUAAGGCCAGGGACUAUCAGAGCCUGAGUCUCCACCCAUAGCAAAUGGCAUCUGUACUGGAAGCCUCUGCAUAUUAGUGCAGGGCGGGGAUGGAUAGAUGAAUGAAGGCAACGCUGAUAUGACAAGAUAUAGAAGAGCAGAAGGCAAGAAGGGGAUGCAGCUCAGUGACUUCUGGUAGGCGACUUUUGGCUUCAAAACCCUGAAAACUGUGUCCUAGACCACCCCGACACUACCAUUUUCUGAACAUCUUCCCAUAAAGAAUAAUGAAUAUUGAACACCAGGAUACCAAAAAAGCUCAUCUAAUCUACUCAAGUAUCACUGUGUACUCUGUUUCAAGAUGCAAAUGAAGUGGGGAUUUUCCUAUGCUGGACAGAGUGUACAGUUACCUGGCCAUGAGGUCUUGGGUCAUUGCUGAAGGGAGAUUCAUGAGGAUGCCAGACUUAAGGAAUGCCUGGCCAGCAAAAGGCCUGAGUAAAUGAGAAAAGAACCAAAGUAAUUAAGAUUCUUGAGCUGAAGGGGAUUGUAACCCCAUAGGAAAAACAACAGUAUCAACUAACCUGACCACCAGAGCGUCCAGAGAUUAAACUAACAACAAAAGAGUACACGUGGAGGUACCCAUGGCUCCAGCUACAUACAUAGCAGAAAUUAUCCUACUGAAUAGACCAUGAGCUACUUGGAGACAGAAUUGGAGAAGAUACAGUCUCUGGUCUCAGUAUGGAUGUGUAAGCAGGUGAAAUACGUUAUGACAUUUCCCUGUCUAAUUCUUCGCUGGAGUACACAAGAAUCUGCAUACUUUGGCCUGUGGCUUGGGACUUCAGAUCCACGUCUUUAAGACCUGGUGAGCCAGCCAGAAGAAAGAGCUGAAGGUGCCCCAUGGCCAGAUCCAAGUGUAUGCCUGGACUCUCUUCUGCUUCUCCAUAUUGGGAUAUAAGUCCAGCAAAAGAAGUAACCAUUGGCCAAGGACAGAUGCCGAGACCAUCAUUAAAAUUGAGAAGCAGCGCUGGAGAGAUGAUUCAGCAGUUAAGAGCACUUGCUGUUCUUACAAAGGGCCUGUCUGGAUUUCAUUCCCGGUGCCCACAUGGAAGCUCACAGUUGUCUGUAAUUCCAGUUCCAAGGAAUCUGUCACACUCUUCUGACUUCCUUGGGCACAAGCAUACACGAGAUGUAUACUCAUAUGUAGGCAAAAUAUUCAUACACAUAUGACAAAAUAAAUCUAAAAUAUUGACAUAGAUUUAGAGUUUUAGUAUUUUAAUCAAAUAUUCAUUUAGAUGAGUUUAUCAUACACCUUCAAGGUGCAUCAGUUGCAAGGUACUUAAGUUUCAAAUUGUAGCAUCACUCCAAAUAAAGCUGAGAUUAUGCCACUCCAAACUCAAAUUUAAGUGAACAACUGUAUGCAUUUCAACAUGUUGGCUAAACAUGCCCUGUGAAAAGUGAAAAUAUGUAGCCCAGUUUUUCGAUCUGGAACCAGAAUUUGAAAACCAAUUUCAAGAUUUCCAGGAAAAGUAAUUAAUAUUUUAAUAUAUUUGCAACUCCAUUUUAAGCUCACAGAAAUAUGCCAAAUACCAAUUUUCAAGCAGAAUGCACAGAGAUGCAAUCUGACAUUUAACCUAAGGAUAAACUUGGUUAGGUCUCUUUACUCAGCUUGCCUGGAUCCUGUCUCUUCAGACACAAUUAUCCCGCCAUUCCCAGUCACAGUCUGUUCACGUCAUCACUGGUUGGCAGCUCUUUCAUUUGUGAGCAAGUAUGGAACCAGGUUAUCCUUGAACUCAGUGGUAGGCCUUGCUCUGCAGGGAUUAAAGGCGAGUGCCACCGUGGCCCAGCUGGGCAAGUAUGUUUGAGAAUGAGGCACAUGUAGUAAAAUUAGAACCCAGACACUUGACAAGCACCUGCCAGCAUGCUCAGAAUCACGAUUAUUCUUCCAUGGAAGCAGCUAUUGACACAUUAGAUCCCAAGAGAGAUACCAGAUUGUGGCCAUCUUUGUUUUACUUAAUUAAAAAUAGUUUUGAAAAAUGAA